RNAcentral lists this ribosomal RNA (55 nucleotides) under Mycopappus alni. Its description in RNAcentral is "partial 28S ribosomal RNA". The record is from RNAcentral. Lineage: Eukaryota; Fungi; Ascomycota; Leotiomycetes; Helotiales; Sclerotiniaceae.
UGGUUGACCUCGGAUCAGGUAGGGAUACCCGCUGAACUUAAGCAUAUCAAAACCG